GACGAACGCUGGCGGCGUGCCUAAUACAUGCAAGUUGAGCGCUGAAGGUUGGUACUUGUACCGACUGGAUGAGCAGCGAACGGGUGAGUAACGCGUGGGGAAUCUGCCUUUGAGCGGGGGACAACAUUUGGAAACGAAUGCUAAUACCGCAUAAAAACUUUAAACACAAGUUUUAAGUUUGAAAGAUGCAAUUGCAUCACUCAAAGAUGAUCCCGCGUUGUAUUAGCUAGUUGGUGAGGUAAAGGCUCACCAAGGCGAUGAUACAUAGCCGACCUGAGAGGGUGAGCGGCCACAUUGGGACUGAGACACGGCCCAAACGCCUACGGGAGGCAGCAGUAGGGAAUCUUCGGCAAGGGACGAAAGUCUGACCGAGCAACGCCGAGUGAGUGAAGAAGGUUGUCGGAUCGUAAAACUCUGUUGGUAGAGAAGAACGUUGGUGAGAGUGGAAAGCUCAUCAAGUGACGGUAACUACCCAGAAAGGGACGGCUAACUACGUG
RNAcentral lists this ribosomal RNA (497 nucleotides) under uncultured bacterium. RNAcentral's name for it is "partial 16S ribosomal RNA". It matches the Rfam family "Bacterial small subunit ribosomal RNA", at positions 28 to 507 of the family's 1533-position model. The record is from RNAcentral.